This 505-nucleotide ribosomal RNA is filed under the name uncultured bacterium. RNAcentral's name for it is "partial 16S ribosomal RNA". It matches the Rfam family "Bacterial small subunit ribosomal RNA", at positions 28 to 507 of the family's 1533-position model. The record is from RNAcentral.
GACGAACGCUGGCGGCGUGCCUAAUACAUGCCAGUAGAACGCACAGUUUAUACCGUAGCUUGCUACACCAUAGACUGUGAGUUGCGAACGGGUGAGUAACGCGUAGGUAACCUGCCUGGUAGCGGGGGAUAACUAUUGGAAACGAUAGCUAAUACCGCAUAAUAUUGAUUAUUGCAUGAUAAUUGAUUGAAAGAUGCUAUUGCAUCACUACCAGAUGGACCUGCGUUGUAUUAGCUAGUAGGUGAGGUAACGGCUCACCUAGGCGACGAUACAUAGCCGACCUGAGAGGGUGAUCGGCCACACUGGGACUGAGACACGGCCCAGACUCCUACGGGAGGCAGCAGUAGGGAAUCUUCGGCAAUGGACGAAAGUCUGACCGAGCAACGCCGCGGGAGUGAAGAAGGUUUUCGGAUCGUAAAGCUCUGUUGUAAGAGAAGAACGGGUGUGAGAGUGGAAAGUUCACACUGUGACGGUAUCUUACCAGAAAGGGACGGCUAACUACGUG